This 86-nucleotide transfer RNA is filed under the name Aureobasidium subglaciale EXF-2481. It matches the Rfam family "tRNA". From Rfam's summary of the family: Transfer RNA (tRNA) molecules are approximately 80 nucleotides in length. Their secondary structure includes four short double-helical elements and three loops (D, anti-codon, and T loops). Lineage: Eukaryota; Fungi; Ascomycota; Dothideomycetes; Dothideales; Saccotheciaceae. The record is from Rfam by way of RNAcentral.
GGUUGUAUAGUGUAGCGGUUAGCACGCGAGAUUUUGAUCACUUUUCGAAGUUUCUCGAGUCCUGGGUUCGAGCCCCAGUACGACCU